CAGAUAAUGAGGCCAAUUAUUAAUAGUUGAGCGACCGUGCUAAAACUACGGAACUCGGGAGUGCCUCACAUCUUCUCCUGGAUUAACAGAAUUACUUACCCGGUCUUCUGUGUUCGCAGACCAUAAAUAAAGUCAAAUUUACUUGAUUUGUGAUUUAAAAUAAAUCGGCGACUUGGGACACCAUAAAUUAUUCCAAGUGACGAAUCUAUUAUUUUUGUGGUUGUGAGUCGUGAGUGAGAGGUGAGUGAAAGGGAAGGGUUGAAUGACGGUCGAUUAGAGAGAUGGAGGAAAAUGGUGGUCUGGGGUUUUCAGAGAAAAUGCUAUGGAGGUGCGCCGUUUCUUCUUUUUAGAGAGGAGGGGUCUCCUCUUUUUAAUACGCACAAUGAACACACACGAAAAUGGACUCCCAUUUCAAAAUACUUCUGAAUUCAAAGUCUAAAUCAGCUGCAUGUGUUUCGAUGUAUCUGGGUUCUAAAUAUUGCUGUGGUUGAAAAAUUGCUGCUGCUCUUUGUUUGGAUCUACCGAUUUGUUCAUGGGUUUAGGAAAUCGCUAUUUUAGCUGUUGUUGAGUAUCCCGUUGAACAUUUCGGACUUUAGCUUUCCAUUUCAGCUUCAUUUGAAUAAUUUUGAGCUGUAUUGUUGCUGUUUAGGUAUGUUCAUACACUUUCUUUGUGUUUUUUUUACUGAACCAUGAACGAAGCUCGAGUUGUUUAUUGCUUUACGCUAUUAGAUCUAGUAUGUUUAAAGGCUAAUUUAGUUGGAAUCCUUUCCUCUGAUUAACCUCUGCAAAUCAUAGUUUUUUUUUUUAUAUUUUAUUUUGAUGAAAUGCUUAGGCGUGAUUAACUAGAAAAUUCUCUAAUGAA
Molecule: long non-coding RNA, 862 nt
Organism: Nicotiana tabacum (common tobacco)
Lineage: Eukaryota; Viridiplantae; Streptophyta; Magnoliopsida; Solanales; Solanaceae
Source: RefSeq, a predicted model, not a curated record